Homo sapiens (human) is the source of this 519-nucleotide long non-coding RNA. RefSeq lists it as uncharacterized. Lineage: Eukaryota; Metazoa; Chordata; Mammalia; Primates; Hominidae. The record is from RefSeq and is a predicted model, not a curated record. The transcript is spliced from 4 exons.
AUGGAUUGAGGCAAUAAGCAUCAGUGGCUACUAAAACCCCCCAAAAUAGAAACAACUAGACAUGUAUGCUUCUUGAUGAAAUUUUAAAAGAAUGCAAUCAACAAAAUCCAAAAUGUGAAACUCUGUAGAGAAAAUGACUCAAUUUUCGUCAACAAAUAAAUUGCAAGAAACAAAAAGAAAUGAGGGAGAACUUAUGGAUUAAAAGAUUUAUAAGAGACAUAACAACCAAAGAUCCAGGGAUAUGAUUUCAAAGCUCAUGUGGAAUGAAGACUGCCCCACCUGAAAGCAAUCUACCCAAGUAAAAAGAAGAAGGAAGAAAAGAAAAGGGCAGAAUGCAACUGAAGCCCACAAUUUGGGAUAUCUAGGAUGGGGAGGAAGAAGAGGAAAUAAGAGAAAUUCCAAUUACAUGUGCACAGAGAGGAGACAGAAGGAGUCAAGAGAGAACAGGCCAGCAUAGCUUGUGAUCUGGAUCAGGAAGGUGUAGCCACUUGAAUGACCCAUAAAUGGAGACCAUGCAGG